RNAcentral lists this ribosomal RNA (286 nucleotides) under uncultured bacterium. RNAcentral describes it as "partial 16S ribosomal RNA". It matches the Rfam family "Bacterial small subunit ribosomal RNA", at positions 334 to 633 of the family's 1533-position model. The record is from RNAcentral.
GUGUACCUACGGGACGCAGCAGUGGGGAAUAUUGGGCAAUGGGCGCAAGCCUGACCCAGCAACGCCGCGUGAAGGAAGAAGGCCCUCGGGUUGUAAACUUCUUUUGUCAGGGACGAAGAAAGUGACGGUACCUGUCGAAUAAGCCACGGCUAACUACGUGCCAGCAGCCGCGGUAAUACGUAGGUGGCAAGCGUUAUCCGGAUUUACUGGGUGUAAAGGGCGUGUAGGCGGGACUGCCAGUCAGAUGUGAAAUUCCAGGGCUCAACCCUGGAACUGCAUUUUAAAC